UGUCCCUUUGGCUCCAGCAGCACCUCUCCUCUCCUGUUCCCAUGGGGACUUCUUAGGAUUUAAAGGGACUGAAAAAGGAGAUCGAGGUGAGCAGAGUUAAAGAGGAAGAGUUCCCAAACAGGCUGACUUGAUUUAUGGAGACAUGAAGCUUCCUACCCUUAUCAUGACAACAGAGACCUCCUUAACUGCCCUCAAGUGACAGCAAACAUGGCGGAUCCUCCUCACCCUAAUGGAGGAUGAAGAGAGGCAAGGAUUAUAGAGAGGAGAGAGCCAUCCACAGGGCUUCUUCAACCAUCUGCCUGAAGGAGUUAUAAUUAAGAGAUUGCCUUGAGUCCCAGGAAAGACUUUGGACUUUUAAACAGCAGUGAGACUGUGAAGGACUGUGGGGACUUUUGAAGUUGGAAUAAAUGCUUUGCACAUUAUGAGAUGGCUACUAGUCUAUGGGGGCCAGGGCAUUGAAUGUGGUGGUUUAAAGGAAAAUGUCCCCCCUCCCUGCCCAGGCUCAUACAUUUGAAUGCUUUGUCUGUAGUUGUUUGGAAAGGAAUAAGAAGAG
This is a long non-coding RNA of Mus pahari (shrew mouse), 553 nucleotides long. RefSeq lists it as uncharacterized. The transcript is spliced from 3 exons. The record is from RefSeq and is a predicted model, not a curated record. NCBI's taxonomy places the organism in Eukaryota, Metazoa, Chordata, Mammalia, Rodentia, Muridae.